AGGGAAUCUUCCACAAUGGACGGAAGUCUGAUGGAGCAACGCCGCGUGAAGGAAGAAGGUUUUCGGAUUGUAAACUUCUGUCCUUGGUGAAGAGAAGAAGACGGUAGCCAAGGAGGAAGCCCCGGCUAACUACGUGCCAGCAGCCGCGGUAAUACGUAGGGGGCGAGCGUUGUCCGGAAUGAUUGGGCGUAAAGGGCGCGUAGGCGGCUUUGUAAGUCUGGAGUGAAAGUCCUCUUUUCAAGGGAGGAAUUGCUUUGGAAACUAUAGAGCUUGAGUGCAGGAGAGGUUAUCGGAAUUCCCGGUGUAGCGGUGAAAUGCGUAGAUAUCGGGAGGAACAUCGGUGGCGAAGGCGGGUAACUGGACUGCAACUGACGCUGAGGCGCGAAAGUGUGGGGAGCAAACA
Molecule: ribosomal RNA, 403 nt
Filed under: uncultured Bacillota bacterium
Lineage: Bacteria; Bacillati; Bacillota
Description: bacterial SSU rRNA
Rfam family: Bacterial small subunit ribosomal RNA
Source: RNAcentral